AGAACGAACGCUGGCGGCAUGCCUAACACAUGCAAGUCGAACGAUGCUUUCGGGCAUAGUGGCGCACGGGUGCGUAACGCGUGGGAAUCUGCCCCUUGGUUCGGAAUAACAGUUAGAAAUGACUGCUAAUACCGGAUGACGACGUAAGUCCAAAGAUUUAUCGCCGAGGGAUGAGCCCGCGUAGGAUUAGCUAGUUGGUGAGGUAAUGGCUCACCAAGGCGACGAUCCUUAGCUGGUCUGAGAGGAUGAUCAGCCACACUGGGACUGAGACACGGCCCAGACUCCUACGGGAGGCAGCAGUGGGGAAUAUUGGACAAUGGGCGCAAGCCUGAUCCAGCAAUGCCGCGUGAGUGAUGAAGGCCUUAGGGUUGUAAAGCUCUUUUACCAGGGAUGAUAAUGACAGUACCUGGAGAAUAAGCUCCGGCUAACUCCGCGCCAGCAGCCGCGGUAA
This 451-nucleotide ribosomal RNA is filed under the name uncultured bacterium. Its description in RNAcentral is "SSU rRNA". It matches the Rfam family "Bacterial small subunit ribosomal RNA", at positions 26 to 523 of the family's 1533-position model. The record is from RNAcentral.